CGCGGCCUAUCAGCUUGUUGGUGGGGUAAUGGCCUACCAAGGCGACGACGGGUAGCCGGCCUGAGAGGGCGACCGGCCACACUGGGACUGAGACACGGCCCAGACUCCUACGGGAGGCAGCAGUGGGGAAUAUUGCACAAUGGGCGAAAGCCUGAUGCAGCGACGCCGCGUGAGGGAUGACGGCCUUCGGGUUGUAAACCUCUUUCAGCAGGGACGAAGCGUAAGUGACGGUACCUGCAGAAGAAGCGCCGGCCAACUACGUGCCAGCAGCCGCGGUAAGACGUAGGGCGCGAGCGUUGUCCGGAUUUAUUGGGCGUAAAGAGCUCGUAGGCGGCUUGUCGCGUCGACUGUGAAAACCCGCAGCUCAACUGCGGGCCUGCAGUCGAUACGGGCAGGCUAGAGUUCGGUAGGGGAGACUGGAAUUCCUGGUGUAGCGGUGGAAUGCGCAGAUAUCAGGAGGAACACCGGUGGCGAAGGCGGGUCUCUGGGCCGAUACUGACGCUGAGGAGCGAAAGCGUGGGGAGCGAACAGGAUUAGAUACCCUGGUAGUCCACGCCGUAAACGUUGGGCGCUAGGUGUGGGGGACCUCUCCGGUUCUCUGUGCCGCAGCUAACGCAUUAAGCGCCCCGCCUGGGGAGUACGG
RNAcentral lists this ribosomal RNA (643 nucleotides) under uncultured bacterium. Its description in RNAcentral is "bacterial SSU rRNA". It matches the Rfam family "Bacterial small subunit ribosomal RNA", at positions 232 to 885 of the family's 1533-position model. The record is from RNAcentral.